Molecule: long non-coding RNA, 144 nt
Organism: Selaginella moellendorffii
Lineage: Eukaryota; Viridiplantae; Streptophyta; Lycopodiopsida; Selaginellales; Selaginellaceae
Exons: 3
Source: RefSeq, a predicted model, not a curated record
GAGAAAGAGAGGACGUCCACAUGAACUUGGCGAUCGACUUCACAGCGGCAAUUCUCGGUGGCGAAGUGUCGGUACCAACACUAUCCGGGAAUGUUAACACAAAGAUUCAACCUGGAACACAGUAUGGCGAAGUCCUCGUUUUGA